RNAcentral lists this long non-coding RNA (3333 nucleotides) under Homo sapiens (human). RNAcentral describes it as "HSALNT0337567". The record is from RNAcentral. Lineage: Eukaryota; Metazoa; Chordata; Mammalia; Primates; Hominidae.
GAGUUGAGGCCAAUGGCGGCUCCACCAUCCUGUGGCUAUGAUUCCUGAACUUGUGGUCUCCUCAGUUGAUGAGGUGAAGAAAGAAAGCCUGGAGAAUUAUGCACGAGCUUCUCACUGUCUCAGCCCACAAGUAACACACCUCUUUCCCUCACAGCCCACACUGGCUGGAACCAAUCACAUAGCCCUGCCUAACUGCAAGGGAGGCCAGAAAGUGCAACACUUUCUCAUGGUCACGGGUGAGCACGAAACAUCUCUCCAAAUAUGGGUUGGGAAGAUUAAGAGACUAGUCCAGAAGAAAACAGUCUCCAGGGAGAAAUAUAUCUGGGAAUAGGAAUCGAGAAAGCAACCAAGAGAGCAGAACUGAGUGGAUGAGAGGAACUGUCAGACCACAUCUGCAGCUCUGAUUAGUCAAAUCCGAAAUGUGCCUGUUGAUCUACUAUUCCGUGGAAAUACUGGAAUCACCAGCUCAAUAAUAAGAGGAAAGUAAAUAAUACCAUACUUGCGUGGAUAAUUCCCCUCUGCUCAUACCUUCAUUCAGGUCAACAUAGAUCUAUCAUACUCCUACAGUGUAUAAGGGACGUGCUAAGCUUGAAGUACAUUCAUUCUAAAAAUCAAAAUACAAAGGCAUGGGAAGACUAAGAAAAUUUCAUAAACCUUCAUUAAAUUAUCAGAAAUACCUGGGAUUCUCAGCUCCAUUUAUAAAGAAACCAGAGUUACAGUUCUUCCAUUACUGAUUGCUUUCUGGAUUGAAUAUUUGAACUCUGCUUUAGUGAUUCCUCUUGCUUAUAUGUGGGAGGAAGACCCCCUACCCUGAGCCAGCAGCUGGAGCACAGCCUGAACACACAGGUUCUCCCUCCUUAAGUGUUGGGCUCUAGAUUCAAGGUUUGAGUACCAUAGCCUUGAUCAGCAGAGAGAACUAACUACCUAGUUUCUACAGCUUUGCUUACUGCCUCUAAAGAUAGACAUUAACACCUUAUUUUUGAAUAUUAAUUUAGAGUUUACAAGGGCCCUAUAACCUUAAUUCAUCUCAUCUCUGUAACAGUCCUGUGAAGUAAGAAUUAUGGUACCCAUUUCAUGGAGGAGAAAACUCAGGGAACUCAGGGGACAAUCCUUUGGUGGUAUCUCUAGUUGGUGGCAAAACCAGGUCUGGGAUUCUGUUCCCUUAACUCUUGAGUGUCACUACUCAGUGGUUUUGUUUUCCAAGGAAGAAGGCCUGGAUAUUAUGGAUUUUUUUAAAAAAAUCAAGUCUCAGGUAUUUAUUCAUAGCAGUGCAAGAAUGGCCUAAUACAUCAAGUAAACAGAUUAUUCCAACACAACAGAGAGCACUGUGACAAGGCUACGAGGUCACAAAGGGAAGAACAAGGAACUCUGGCUGGCGGUGAGAGUUUUCAGUGAAGUAACAAUAUCUGACUAGGGUUUUGAAGAAUGAGCAGAAGCUCUGCGUCAGAUGAAGAAGAGACAGGAGGCCCUCCAAGCAAAGGAACCACUCAUGUCAAGACAUGGGGCAAAAAGAGAGGAUGUAUUUGGAGAACAGAGAGUAACCGAAGGCUAUCAUUCAAUCAGUGAUAGUCUUCAUGGAGGUUAAUAUCAAAGGCAACCUGAAUUUCCUCAGACUUCAUGAGCUGGCGGUGAAGGGUGAGAUCACACAAGCAGUAAUAACCCAGCUCUCCCUGGCUCACUGCCUUACUUACUGGCCUUCUGGUACUCAGCAAAGCUGUCCCCAUGAGUUUGGGAGUCUCCAUUCCUGUCCUUCCACUCCCCUCAAACGUCUUUCAUUCAAGGUCACGUGGUAACUUGACUCCUCUCACCACUACUUCUGUGGGAAUGCAGAGGCCAGGCCAGAGCCUGUGGGUGCUGCCCUCCCCAGAGACUUCACUAUGCCCAGCUCCAGGGAGGACUGACUGGAGGAGGGGACCAGGCAUCUCCCCUGCACUCUGGGCCCACAGCAACCCUGUAUACCAGCCCGUAUUAACCUUGCAACGCCUUCCUCCAAAAGGCUGAGACUUCAACCACAGGACCUGGGUGGUGAUCACCACAAAAUUUCUUCCUGAACGUUCUUCUCCAACAACUUCUCACAUUCAGUUAUUCAUUCAACAAACAUUGAGCAACAACCUAAUCUUCUGGGCUCUGGAGACCGAGUUAAAAAGGAGACAGCAGGCCCCUGCCCCCGCUUCCCGACAGGUCACCACAUCUUGAGUGCUAAGACUGUCAUCACAGGGUGAGGAGGGGAAAUGAGCUCAGAGGGGCAGAACCUUCUGAAAGGGCAGAAUGGUUCAAGCAUCCCGCCAAGGUCAGAAGGCGCUGGAUCCAGGGCAAAAAUGAAGACAUAAGGGACCUUAGGUGACAAGGAAGAAGCUCCCAGGCAGCAUGUGGGAUGGACCCAAGGAGAACGUCAGAGAGAAAGAGUUCAGUCUGGUGUCUCCUGAAGCAGGUUAAAAUUAAGCUCGGCAGGCUCGACGUAAAUGUGCAGACAAAGCAAAGCAGGAAGCCUCCCACACUAAAAAGGGAAGAUAAGAAUCACAGAAGCUGGGAUGGUUUUUAUUGAAGGGCAUUUCAAAGCAAAUACAGACAUCUACAGCAUAUUUGUAAAUCCUCCGUAUGUGUAUGGAAACACACACCUUCACACAUCAAAACUGGAUUUGUUCCUGAGUAACAAAACGUCCUAAGAACAAAAUGAAAGAAAACCAAAUAGCAGAAAAAUACUUCCAAUGUAUAUACCACAAAGGAUUAUUUAUCAACUCAACACACCAAGAGUUAAGAAAAUAAUGCAACAGGAACAAAGGGCAAAGGAUAUGUACUGGGAAGACCACAGAGAAAGAAAAUGCAAAUGGCUAAUAAUAUAAAAUAUUUCCUAGGUUCAAUAGUAAUCAGGGAAAGACAAAAUUACACUUUUGACCUCUUAGACUGGCAGUGACAAAGAUUAUUUGAGUGACCAAGCUUUAGUCAGGCUCCUGGAUCUUCUAGGCCCAUCUGGGCACUUCCUCGUAAAAUACAGUUUUAACAAAAGCCCUGCUAAAUUGGUUUACCGAGAACUCCCACCCUCAAUCGAGUUCCUUAGCCCUUCACCUUUCCUCAGGUGAGGGCUGAUCAUCCUGUCCUGUCUUCAGCAAGACUGCUCUAACGCUGACGUUUCCUUUUAGUAAUUUUCCAUCCACUGACACCCACUUGUAAUUUAUAGCCAAGGAGCAAGAUACACUGCUCCUUGGCUAUAAGUUAUUUUCCCUGUUACAUUCAGAGUUGAGCCCAAUCCCACUCCCCGACUACAAAAUCGAUAGCAGUGGUCCCUAUACCUAUUGCAAUGGUCCUAAAUAAAACCUGCCUUACCGUGCUUGA